This 1440-nucleotide long non-coding RNA is filed under the name Homo sapiens (human). Its description in RNAcentral is "HSALNT0314989". Lineage: Eukaryota; Metazoa; Chordata; Mammalia; Primates; Hominidae. The record is from RNAcentral.
GGGGACUGAUCUUUCCCGUGCUAUUCUCAUGAUAGUGCAUAAGUCUCAUGAGAUCUGAUGAGGUUAUCAGGGGUUUUUGCUUUUGCUUCUUCCUCAUUUUCUCUUGCUGUUGCCAUGUAAGAAGUGCCUUUUACCUCCUGCCAUGAUUCUGAGGCCUCCCCAGCCAUGUGAAACUGGCCCUUCCAUCUGCCCAUGCUGCCCCCAUCUCCUGAUUUGUGAAAUUCAUCAGGUGUGCACCCUUCUAAUGGCUGCUCCGAUGAAAACAGUAAAAACCCAUCAAGCCAGACCAAGAGGAGUGACCUACUUAUAUCAGAUUGUGUUAACUUUCUGAGAAGAGACAGACUCAGACCCAGAGAGGAGAACACCAUGUGGAGAUGGAGGCAGAGGUUGGAGUGAUGCACCUACAAGCCAAGGAACACUGUGGAUGGCAGCAGCUGCCAGAAGCCAGGAGAGAGGCAUGGAGCAGGUGCUCCCUCAGAGUCACCAGCAGGAACCAACCCUGCUGACACUUUGAUUUCAAACCUCUGUCUUCCAGAACGGUGAUAGAAUAAAUUUCUGUUGUUUUAAGCCAUCCAAGUCUGUGGUAAUUUACUAUGGCAGCUCUAGGAAACUAACACUAGUGUAGGAUAAAAAAUUUUCUCAACUCUGUCCCCUUGUUUUCUCUCAUUAUGAUGCCUAUCACUGGCCGGACCCAACUGGAAGCUGGAAAGCAAGGGAACUGUGAUGUGGUCCCUGGAGGUCAGCCUCUAGGUGCAAUGCAGAGCAGAGAAUGGAUGGAGGGUGACUAUAAAUGGAGAAUAAUCCAGGCUUCUAUCUUCUUCAAGUUCAGAGUCAGGUGGAAGAUGACAUGAACCCCAAAGGCUCUGGAGAAACUGCUGUCUCGACCCCUCUUUUCCACCCCUUGCACCUGGUUCUGUUGUGAACACAAGCAGGCUGAGAACACAGCUUGUUCCUCAAAACUGCAUCUUGGACAAGAAAUUGACUUUCCCCGGGGAACAAUGUUAUAAACAGGCGAGGAGUGGUAUGUGCGUGCCGAAGAAAGAGAUGAUGUAGAAGUUAAAAGGCUGGAGAACAAUAAACAUGAAAAGCAGUUCAACGUCAUUUGUAAGCAAGCCAACUCAAGUAAAAAUAACACUGAAAUGAAUUCAUUGCCACCCUUCAGGUUGGCACAGAAGGAUGUGAUGGCUGUCUCCCAGGGCUGGUGAAGGCAGGGGGAAGAAGACUCACUCUCUACUGCUGCAGGACUGGUUGUGGAUUCGGUGAGGCGUAAAGACCCCAGCACAGUGCUGGCUCCCUUUCUCUUCCUGCUCAGCUCCUUUCCCGACAUCUGCAACUUGCAUUGUAAAGCAAAAGACAGGGAAAAGUCAAGGUUCAGCAUCAAUGUCUCAGUGCUGUGCAGUGUUAUUUGCAUAAACCUUCCCAUUCACUGAUGGAAACCCC